Molecule: unclassified non-coding RNA, 391 nt
Filed under: soil metagenome
Description: partial contains 5.8S ribosomal RNA, internal transcribed spacer 2, and large subunit ribosomal RNA
Rfam family: 5.8S ribosomal RNA (bases 1-122)
Source: RNAcentral
GAUGAAGAACGCAGCGAAAUGCGAUACUUGGUGUGAAUUGCAGAAUCCCGUGAACCAUCGAGUCUUUGAACGCAAGUUGCGCCCGAAGCCAUUAGGCCGAGGGCACGCCUGCCUGGGUGUCACACGUCGUUGCCCCCCCAUCUACUCCUUCGGGAUUGCGGGGGGCGGAUGAUGGCCUCCCGUGCGCCUCGUCGCACGGUUGGCAUAAAUGCCAAGUCCUCGGCGACGCACGCCACGACAAUCGGUGGUUGCGAAACCUCGGUUGCCCGUCGUGUGCGGUCGUCGCGCAUCGAGGGCUCGAAAAAAUUGCCGGGCUCCGGCUCGGCUUUCAACGCGACCCCAGGUCAGGCGGGGUUACCCGCUGAAUUUAAGCAUAUCAAUAAGCGGAGGA